Molecule: ribosomal RNA, 477 nt
Filed under: uncultured bacterium
Lineage: Bacteria
Description: partial 16S ribosomal RNA
Rfam family: Bacterial small subunit ribosomal RNA
Source: RNAcentral
AUUGAACGCUGGCGGCAUGCCUUACACAUGCAAGUCGAACGGUAACAGGUUAAGCUGACGAGUGGCGAACGGGUGAGUAAUGUAUCGGAACGUGCCCAGUCGUGUGGGAUAACUGCUCGAAAGAGCAGCUAAUACCGCAUACGACCUGAGGGUGAAAGCGGGGGAUCGCAAGUCCUCGCGCGAUUGGAGCGGCCGAUAUCAGAUUAGGUAGUUGGUGAGGUAAAGGCUCACCAAGCCGACGAUCUGUAGCUGGUCUGAGAGGACGACCAGCCACACUGGGACUGAGACACGGCCCAGACUCCUACGGGAGGCAGCAGUGGGGAAUUUUGGACAAUGGGCGCAAGCCUGAUCCAGCCAUGCCGCGUGCGGGAAGAAGGCCUUCGGGUUGUAAACCGCUUUUGUCAGGGAAGAAAAGGUGCUGGCUAAUACCUGGGACUCAUGACGGUACCUGAAGAAUAAGCACCGGCUAACUACGUG